This is a long non-coding RNA of Brassica oleracea var. oleracea, 391 nucleotides long. RefSeq lists it as uncharacterized. The transcript has 2 exons. NCBI's taxonomy places the organism in Eukaryota, Viridiplantae, Streptophyta, Magnoliopsida, Brassicales, Brassicaceae. The record is from RefSeq and is a predicted model, not a curated record.
AUGAUAAAAAUCAAUUUAUUCAUAUUACCAAGGAUGGAAAAAUCACUUAUAUUUUCAUUUAAUGUUUUAACUCUCCUCGUCAUUUUUGUACUAGUGGCCGGAACGAUGGGGCAAGGGAAUACAAAUAAAAAAGAUAUGUGUCGUAUAAAUCUAGAUAACCAAAUGCCUGGAAGUUGCCAAAACAAGUCAGCUUGCCUAUCUGCGUGUAAGAAGAGGGUAGAAGGGUCAGCAAUACAAGAAAUAAACGCUCGUUGCUCCAUCGGAAAAAUAUGUGCGUGCUAUGCUCCAUGUCCAAAAUGAUCUUAAUGUUUAGUUUAUUGACAACGAAACUCGGAUAUAUUUAUAAUAAAUUAUGAUGCAAUUUAUAGCAAUAAUUAAAUAAGUUUUCAAA